AGUCCAGUAUUGAUUGCAGCUACAAUAUGUUUAUGGUCAUGCCUCCAUUAGAGGAUGAGCCAGCAGACUGUGGUAUACCUAUGAAAGUAGCAUAUGUACUCAAUCAAAACCAAUCAGUCACAGAGGAACUGCUGAGUGAGAUG
Molecule: long non-coding RNA, 143 nt
Organism: Mytilus trossulus (common blue mussel)
Lineage: Eukaryota; Metazoa; Mollusca; Bivalvia; Mytilida; Mytilidae
Exons: 2
Source: RefSeq, a predicted model, not a curated record